RNAcentral lists this ribosomal RNA (166 nucleotides) under uncultured Gammaproteobacteria bacterium. RNAcentral describes it as "partial 16S ribosomal RNA". It matches the Rfam family "Bacterial small subunit ribosomal RNA", at positions 370 to 528 of the family's 1533-position model. The record is from RNAcentral. Lineage: Bacteria; Pseudomonadati; Pseudomonadota; Gammaproteobacteria.
AAUGGGCGCAGCCUGAUCCAGCAAUACCGCGUGGGUGAAGAAGGCCUUCGGGUUGUAAAGCCCUUUUGUUGGGAAAGAAAUCCAGCCGGCCCAAUACCUGGUUGGGAUGACGGUACCCAAAGAAUAAGCACCGGCUAACUUCGUGCCAGCAGCCGCGGUAAUACGA